CCGGACCGAGGGAGACGGCAACCCGCCUACUUCUUCGAAGAGGAGACACCCCGUUCGACUCGGGGGGUCCGGAC
This 74-nucleotide transfer RNA is filed under the name Couchioplanes azureus. Its description in RNAcentral is "Couchioplanes caeruleus subsp. azureus tRNA-Arg". The record is from RNAcentral. Lineage: Bacteria; Bacillati; Actinomycetota; Actinomycetes; Micromonosporales; Micromonosporaceae.